UUGAUGUCGCUCGUAAGGGUGAAACUCAUUGUGAAACGUUUGAGAACCACUGCUACAGAACAAUGGAGAUUUCCGUUAUAUGGUCAGAGGUGGGUAGUAACGAGCUACAUUUACUCCGUUACAUUUACUUGAGUAAGUUUUUGAAAAAAAAUGUACUUUUUAAGUACCUUUUUUGCACGAUACUUUUUACUUUUACUUGAGUACAUUUAUGAAGAAGAAACGGUACUUUUACUCCGCUACAUUUGCAAAAUUCGACUCGUUACUUUAAAAAAAAUAAUUAGUUUAACACAUUAGAUAACAUGCCGUCAGUGGAGUUUCCAGUAACUUUUUUACCAAUGAGACGUGGCCAUACAGUCACAUGACCAGUUUGAAACCGUGGCGGGCGGAGCGGCCCAAGCGUUUCAAAGUAGCGGACACACGGAAAGAAGAAAUGUGAUGGCAGAGUCUACGCUAGAGCUGAAGAGGACGAACACCUUUGGCCUCACAUACAAAGAAUGUUUCGCUUAAAAGCAGCACAAAAGAACAGCUAUGUCUUCAGUGAGAGCCAAAACAAACCAGCGUGAAACAACUCAACUCGUUUAACCUGAUGAAACGGUCUCCACUUCAUGAGACAUCACCUAGACACAGAGCUGGAUGAGGCCAGGACAAACAGCAGCCUAACCGACGAAGAUGAUGGAUCCAUGGGGUCAGGAAAGCCAGAAGCAGAGGAACUGGAGAGGUACCUUUCAUGUCCAUUCACUGGAGGUGUGGAUCUAUUGCAUGGCUUUCCUCAGAUCAAGAAGCUGUCGAUCAAAGUCAAUACAGCUCUUCCUGCAUCUGCAGCCUGUGAGAGACUUUUUAGUCAUGCAGGACUCCUGUUCACUGCCAAACGGUCACAGCUUCACAGCAAGAACCUUGAGAGCAAACUGCUGUCUGAUUUGAUGUUACAAUUAAAAAUGUUUGUGUUUUUAUCUGAAGAGUUUAUAAAUAUCUGGUUUCCACUGUAUAUUUGAUGAAUGUCAGCACAAAGAGGGAGAGAGAGGAACAAGAGCAGGUGAGACACACAUGUUAGUCAAAUGGUUGUUUACCAAAAGUAUCACCGUAUCACAGGAACUCAUGUAUCUCGUACCUAGUGUUUCUUUUUAGGUUUGUUAUUUUUCAAAUUCUAUAUUUAUUAAGUUAUGCAGGCUUGUUUGCACAACAAGGCUAAAUAAUUAUAUAAACUUUUCUGAAUCUAAAUAGUGGACUUUGGUAGAAUUAAAAAAUAAGUGUAGUGCAGGUCUAUGAUGGUUUUUAGUGCUACUAUCAUCUAGUUCUGGUUCUAGUUCUGUCCUGGUUAAAUCCUAAGUAGUCCUGAUUUUGAACUGUUGUAGUCCUGUUUUAAUUCCAGAUCAGUUCUGGGUCUGGUUGAAUUGGGGUUUAGUCCCUGUGUCUUGAUACAGCCCCGACUUUGUUCUGCCUUGCUGCUUAAUUUAAAAAUUAGUUUAAGGUGUCCUGCAUAUGUGAUAUAUAUUUUUCCCUAUAUGAAGUCAUUCUUUUUUGAACAAAACUGAAAACAGAGGCAAUUAAUCUUUCAGCUGAAGCUGAACCACCAUUUCACUGAAGAAACAAUUUAUGGUAAAGUGAGCCAUACACAUAUGAACAUCCACAUAGUGGAAAUUUGUAUUUGUCUUUUAUAAUUAGUUUUACUCUGAUUUCAGUGUUUAUUUGUGAGUGUAGUUUUUACAUUUUUACAUAUUACAUUGUGUUAAUCCACUGUCUAUACUUCAGGGUAUUUUAGUAUACAGAAUAAGUUUUGUUAGAAUGUCUAUUCUUAUGGAAUUUUAGCACAGAUGUGUUUUUUUUUGUUUUUUUUAUUCCUGCUGCCUGCCUUGGGAAUAAACUUUUCCUGAUUAUA
Long non-coding RNA from Oreochromis niloticus (Nile tilapia), 1876 nucleotides. RefSeq lists it as uncharacterized. Lineage: Eukaryota; Metazoa; Chordata; Actinopteri; Cichliformes; Cichlidae. The transcript is spliced from 2 exons. The record is from RefSeq and is a predicted model, not a curated record.